This 520-nucleotide ribosomal RNA is filed under the name uncultured bacterium. Its description in RNAcentral is "bacterial SSU rRNA". It matches the Rfam family "Bacterial small subunit ribosomal RNA", at positions 338 to 839 of the family's 1533-position model. The record is from RNAcentral.
CCUACGGGAGGCAGCAGUGGGGAAUUUUGGACAAUGGGCGCAAGCCUGAUCCAGCAAUGCCGCGUGCAGGAUGAAGGCCUUCGGGUUGUAAACUGCUUUUGUACGGAACGAAACGGUGAGCUCUAAUACAGUUUGCUAAUGACGGUACCGUAAGAAUAAGCACCGGCUAACUACGUGCCAGCAGCCGCGGUAAUACGUAGGGUGCGAGCGUUAAUCGGAAUUACUGGGCGUAAAGCGUGCGCAGGCGGUGAUGUAAGACAGAUGUGAAAUCCCCGGGCUCAACCUGGGACCUGCAUUUGUGACUGCAUCGCUAGAGUACGGUAGAGGGGGAUGGAAUUCCGCGUGUAGCAGUGAAAUGCGUAGAUAUGCGGAGGAACACCGAUGGCGAAGGCAAUCCCCUGGACCUGUACUGACGCUCAUGCACGAAGACGGUGGGGAGGACAAACAGGAGUAGUAUACCUACGGUACGUACCGACCGACCCUAAACCGAUGUCAACUGGUUGGUUGGGUUCGUUCUACU